RNAcentral lists this ribosomal RNA (267 nucleotides) under Bacteroides graminisolvens. RNAcentral describes it as "partial 16S ribosomal RNA". The record is from RNAcentral. Lineage: Bacteria; Pseudomonadati; Bacteroidota; Bacteroidia; Bacteroidales; Bacteroidaceae.
GGGAAAGGGUGACAUCGAUAUGCGAUUCGUAGCAGGGUAGCCGUAAAAAAAGGGGCCUGACAAAAAAACCCAUAGAAGGGGGAGGGCCUAAAAGAGGCUCGGGGAAGACUUUCAAAAAAAAGAGAAAAGCCCGAUAAAAAAACGAGUUCGCAUGUUCUCUUUAUUAAAGGAUUCCGGUAAUCGAUGGGGAUGCUUUCCCUUUAAAUAGUUGGUGAGGUAACGGCUCUAUCCUCUUCGAUUGGUAUGUGUUUUGCCAGUAGGGUUCUC